Peromyscus maniculatus bairdii (prairie deer mouse) is the source of this 2696-nucleotide non-coding RNA. NCBI's taxonomy places the organism in Eukaryota, Metazoa, Chordata, Mammalia, Rodentia, Cricetidae. The record is from RefSeq and is a predicted model, not a curated record.
CGUGGGGAGAUCCAACAGUCUCUUCCUGGUCUCCCCAACCAGUUAACCCCCAACGCUUCACCUUCUCUAGGAAGUGGUUCAAGGGACCAGUGGGAAACAGGGUGUGUUGGUGAAUUCUGGGCAUCCCCCCCGCCCCCCGUAUGUCAAAGUUUAGGGUAACCAACCUCUGCCCUCUGUUUGCUUGUCGGAAACCCCCAAGGGCUGGGGAAGCCGAGAUUCCCGGCUUCGGAUCUGAUAACCUCACUCGGGAGGUCACGGGUGCCCGCGCCCUGGUCAUCUCCCUCGGGCGGGAAGGAGCAAGAAUGCCGUUUCUCCGCCAGCUGCGCGCUCCGCUUCCGAGGCGGCAGCGACACACGGCGCAUGACCAAAGGAUUCCCAAAGGCCAUCCUCGGUCCCGAAAAGAAAUGGUUUCCGUGGCCCGGCACGCCUCGCCGAGCGAGCGCAGCGACAGGGGUCCUGCCGGAGCUCGCCUGGGACUCCCCGUGCACCGGCCGAACCUCGCCUUUCCGUGACUCUUACAGAGAGGAGCUAAAUUGCAAUCGACUCGGGCCGCGCUUUUCGGAGGAAAGCCUUUCCUACUGUAAACGUGGCUCGGGCGAUGCUCGCCGCGGCUCUUCCGAGAGGGUCACGGCCAGGCAGGCGCUGGCGACGCCCCUCCAGCCUGCUCCGGCUCCUGGGCCUCCUUUGAAGUUGCAGCUCCAGCAGCCACUUCGGAAGGGGGUGGGGUGGGUGGGAUCCUGCCCAGCCCCUCCCCCGUCGCGCCCCUCCCCUGCCGCCAGCUUGGACCUGACCGCUGGGGCCCAGUUCCGCCACUGACCGGAACCGACAGCCAUUUGGUCCCUUGGAGCACUCGGGUGCCUAACAGCCCCUCACCCUCUGUGACCCUCUCCUGAACUAAACAGUACGCACUCAGUGUUCGGGACUCAUGCUUCAGCUCCCACGACCGGUCCGGUGGGAGGGGCAGUGCACCCACAGCGGCCCAGAGCUCUUUCCUAGAGAAGGAACGAACCGGACACUUUUGCUCCCCAUCCACAAGUCCUAGCUCGAUCGGGAAGGUGGAGGUGUCUCUGUCAGUGAGUCCACAGGGGACCUUGAAGGCACCCCAGAAUGCCAGGAGCCCUUCCCGAGGGGGCGUGCCCUAUGCUCGGGGGCCACCGAGGAAGAGGGAUAACUGAAAGGCUGAGUCCGGGAGCUUCGUUCCUCCGGAGCUGAGUCUGUUUUCUUCCUGCAGCCCCCGAAAACAGGACCCGGAGUCCUGCUAGGGCAUCCCCUCCCAACCCUGGCGUGCCUCCCCCGUAUUCCUCAUCCUCCAGCCCACAGCCAAGUAAAAGCAAUUACAGUUUGGAAUCCCAGGAGGCAAGCAAAUGAUUUCGCUUAUGAAAAGAACCGACUAGAGUUCCCUAAAGGUUAGGGAACGAGGGAGCCGCCUUGGAGGCUGAGAGACAGCCUUGGAGGCGGGCGGGGACAGCGGGCAUGCCGCCGGAGAGUGGUCCACGGAAGCCACCACGCAGUGUCAGAGAAGAGGGGAGGAGCAAGAGCAAAGGCGCGCUCGCGCGUCCCUGCAGAGGACGAGCAGGCAAUCGCGGAGGCUGCCAGGUGAUGGGAGUCAGAGGAGGGGAGAAGCGUGCACCCCACCGGCAGCUGGCCGGGCGGCGGGCUCCUCCCGGCACACGAACUCUCCUUUCCCAGCCUUUCCCCUCCGGCUUCCCGCGCGUGCAGACUGCACCAAGACGCACACCGCGCUGGGGGCGCUCGCGGGCAUGGGAUGGGCGGGGUGCGGCAGGAACCAAAGAGCCCUGUGCCCCACACCGCGUAGGGCGUGCUGCACACCUGGCACCCGGGACUCACCAUCUGUUCAGAGCUGCCUCCUCGGCCCUAGGGUGUGGCCUGGGGAUAGAUAAGAGUACUUUGUGGCAGCGACGACUCCUCAUCAACUGCCACUUCAACUGCCAAUCAGCGUCGUGAGUGCCCUACUAUGUGUCUCCGCUCAGCUUCAGAGCUUCCCGCUGCAGGUCUCAGGCACCAUAUCAUCUGUUCCGCUCCUCUGCAAGCUACAAGAGAAUCCUGUAUAUGCUGUAAAAUAAGUUCACACCGAACCGUAAGGCAGAGGCAAACUAGCCUUUGUAAAGAGGCAAAUUUGGGGACCAAGAGGAGGGUGGUGUUUGUUGGAGGAACCUAGAAUAGAAGUUCAUGAAUUUUUUUUUUUUUCUAACUAGUUCCUGAAGCAUAAAACUCCACGCACGGGCUGUUUGUCCCCCGCUCACAGUGUACAGACAAAAUGAAAAACAAUUUCAAGUUGGGUGUGGUGGUUCACACCCUUAAUUCUCAGCACUUGAUUGAGGUCUGUGACAGCUACUCCAAAUGAUGACAGCCGUUAAGGUGGACUGGAAGACUGACAUCCAGGUGCUGAAAUCUCAGGCGCAGGAAGAGAGGUGGCAGCCGUUGACAGCCACAGGAAGAGGGAAGUGUGACCCAGGUGGGUGGUGUGAGCAUCAAAGGAGAGGGAAUUUUCACAGGAGGAAAGAGACUUCACCUCUGAGAGUACCAAAGCUGAGUGGGUCCUGGAUGUCGGGAGUGCUCUGAGCUGAGAGCCGACAGGAAAGGGAUUUCUGGCAGAGGACUUAGAGAACCACUGAAUGGCUUUUGGAAGAAGGUGCUCACAUUGCCUAACACUGAUAUCUGAGAUGUUUUUGUUU